This 253-nucleotide ribosomal RNA is filed under the name uncultured bacterium. Its description in RNAcentral is "partial 16S ribosomal RNA". It matches the Rfam family "Bacterial small subunit ribosomal RNA", at positions 524 to 776 of the family's 1533-position model. The record is from RNAcentral.
UACGUAGGGUGCAAGCGUUAAUCGGAAUUACUGGGCGUAAAGCGUGCGUAGACGGUCAAGUAAGUCGGGUGUGAAAGCCCCGGGCUCAACCUGGGAAUUGCAUUCGAGACUGCGUGGCUAGGGUGCGGAAGAGGGAAGCGGAAUUUCCGGUGUAGCGGUGAAAUGCGUAGAUAUCGGAAGGAACACCUGUGGCGAAAGCGGCUCACUGGACCAUUACUGACACUGAGGCACGAAAGCUAGGGGAGCAAACAGG